Tachyglossus aculeatus (Australian echidna) is the source of this 132-nucleotide small nucleolar RNA. Lineage: Eukaryota; Metazoa; Chordata; Mammalia; Monotremata; Tachyglossidae. The record is from RefSeq and is a predicted model, not a curated record.
GCCCUCUCAGGAUCACACCUGGAGAGUUUCCAGUACUCCACCAGUCUCGACUACAGGAGGGAGAGUCAAGCAUGCCCAUUCCAUUCCUAGCUUGGGCAGUGGCUAAUGAGUGGAAGGCAAUCUGCUACAAGU